This 253-nucleotide ribosomal RNA is filed under the name uncultured bacterium. Its description in RNAcentral is "partial 16S ribosomal RNA". It matches the Rfam family "Bacterial small subunit ribosomal RNA", at positions 524 to 776 of the family's 1533-position model. The record is from RNAcentral.
UACGGAGGGGGCAAGCGUUAUUCGGAAUUAUUGGGCGUAAAGGGCGCGUAGGCGGCUAGAUGUGUCAAAGGUGAAAUCCCUCGGCUCAACUGAGGAACUGCCUUUGAAACUGUCUGGCUUGAGGCCGGGAGAGGGUAGCGGAAUUCCCAGUGUAGCGGUGAAAUGCGUAGAUAUUGGGAGGAACACCAGUGGCGAAGGCGGCUCACUGGCCCGAUACUGACGCUGAGGCACGAAAGCGUGGGGAGCAAACAGG